RNAcentral lists this transfer-messenger RNA (328 nucleotides) under Acetobacteraceae bacterium. It matches the Rfam family "Alphaproteobacteria transfer-messenger RNA". From Rfam's summary of the family: Bacterial tmRNA, also known as 10Sa RNA or SsrA, is named for its dual tRNA and mRNA-like properties. The record is from RNAcentral. Lineage: Bacteria; Pseudomonadati; Pseudomonadota; Alphaproteobacteria; Acetobacterales; Acetobacteraceae.
CAUCUGGACGCAACGGCAUGCACACCCUAUAUUCAGUAGUGCGAGGGGCAACCCUAGCUAUGGCGAUAAACGGUGUGUGGAAUAAUCGUUGUGGACCCGGGGGCAGUGCCCGGCGUCUCCACCAAACGCCGGAGGCCGCGAGGCCGAGGGCCUCAUGGGGACGAAACAGGCUCGACACGCGUGGUAAAGACUAACUUUUUGCUCGGCAUGAUACCGCCGUCAUCGGGUCAUAUUACAAGUGCCAACGAUAACAAUCAGGCGCUCGCUGUCGCUGCAUAAGCGAUAAGCGCGGUUCGGGGGGGCACCGGGCAACAGAAGCCCCCUCACU